CGCCUCCGGGCCAACGACCGGAAGUGCUUCGGCGGUCUACAGCUUGGCUGCAAGUGUUGGCGGUCCUGCCUUUUGCAGGCCUCAGCGGGAUGAUAAAAAAAGCUUUACAAUAUUUUUAAAACAGAAGAUGGUCAUUGUGUUGGAGCUUUGUGAUGAAUGGGAAACAUAGUGAAACAUGAGGUACAAGACAUAAUGGUAUAUAGAUCAUGCAGGACAUUGAAAACUAUGAUACGCUUUUUAAAAUAAACGAUUACUCUAACAACAUGCUAGAGGUACUCUCAGGGAUCCAGAAGGUGAAAGAGCCAUGACCACCGCCACAGACACGUUGAAAAGUUAUUUCUGCCUGCUCCCAUACUUUUAGUUUCAAGCUUCUGGAUAGAACUGAACAAUGUCAACAAAUCUGGUGAUGAAGCACAGAUUAAGUCUUUAAAAUAUCUUAAUUUUACAGUCCC
Camelus dromedarius (Arabian camel) is the source of this 452-nucleotide long non-coding RNA. RefSeq lists it as uncharacterized. The transcript has 4 exons. The record is from RefSeq and is a predicted model, not a curated record. Lineage: Eukaryota; Metazoa; Chordata; Mammalia; Artiodactyla; Camelidae.